AAUGGAUGAGGAGUUUCUUCUUAUGGAUGAGCAAAGAAAGUGAUUUCUUGAGAUGGAACCUACUCUGGUGAAGAUGCUGUAAAGAUUAUGGAAGUGACAACA
This is a non-coding RNA of Ceratotherium simum simum (southern white rhinoceros), 102 nucleotides long. The record is from RefSeq and is a predicted model, not a curated record. NCBI's taxonomy places the organism in Eukaryota, Metazoa, Chordata, Mammalia, Perissodactyla, Rhinocerotidae.